GUCAUUUUCUAAAACUGACACUUGUACCUAACAAUAAACAAACUUGGCGAGGUCAGAUCACAGGCAUCUGUUUUCUUCUGGCCUGUGUUUUCUGAUUCUUCUUUGACAGUUUGUGAGCAUUGGUUGUGUGAUCUAGAUAUGCUAAAAUUUAUUCUCUUCCUUCUUUAGAAAGCAUCGCUGAGCAUUUGUUGUUCCCUAGUGUUGAGGGAAGCGUCUGGUAGCAUUUCAGUUAACGGAAUUUGAGGCACUCUCCUUUCCGUCCGUUUGUUAGAAUCUUGGUUUUAACCGUAAAAUUGCAGCCGUUGAGAGGGCUUGGGUUCUAGCUAGUACGCAGUAGCUACGGUAAGUGACUGGAGACAAAUGCAGACGAGCGCGGAGCUCCAGGCAGCCUCUGGGCCCAGGAUAGCACCUGCGUACACUGUUCCCUAAAUCGGAGGCACUUAGCCUUUCGGGAAACAGAGUCCGGAUCCCCAAUUUGCUGUCUUUUUACCUCUGCCUGCAGGACUUUCUUUAACAUUUCUAGUUGAACUUUUAUUUUUGGAGGAGUGUUGAAAUUAAACAGUACAUAGGUGACGGCAGCAAAGUCCAGAGGUAAAGAGGAAACUGUAUGUCCUUAGAUGGGGAUGGAUUCAUUUGGAGAAGUUUCAACUUGGCGAGAGCACAAUGAGCAAGGAGCUGGCCCCUGGGUUGGCUCCCAGGAAAAACAGGUGGGCCGCCUCUAGCUUGGGAUCCCGUCAGUUCUGUGCAGCAGUCCUGAGGACCGGACCAGCACGGAGAGUACAAGGCUGCCCAGAGCCCUUGUGAAGGUGCCUCCCACCAGAGGAUGAAGACAGGCCCCCUGUGCAGAAGCGGAGGAUGACUCCUGUCCCUGCCAGGCAAUGCAGAGUGAAGAAGUUUGGUAAAUAGUCACAGCCCCUGAGGCGGGUAGAAAUCCAUUUGAACAGCACACAAGCAAUUCAGACUGACAUAUAAGAAGGUCAGAAGACAGUUCUCCUGCCUACUCUGCCAUGGACUAUUUCCCCUCUGCAGUGUCUCUCUGCCAUGGUGCCCUGCCUUGGAGCCAGCUGAUAAUAGAUUGAAACCUCUGCAAACUGUGAGCCAGAAUAAACCUUUCCUCUUUUUAACCUGGGGGUGUUGAGUAUUUUGCCCCAGCAAUAAAAAAUAAGUAAGACAACCAGACCUCCAACUUCCACCUCAAUGGCAGUUUGAAUUAGAAAUGUAAAAUUUAGAACCAAAAUUCUGGUUGCUCAUUGUCCCUCCAUGGACUCCCCAGCUCCGGGAGGAAGUACGAUGUGCUGAUUAUCUUUGGCUUCUUCUGGAAGAGUCUGGAAUCUUCUAGAUUAUCCAAACAAGAGGCUUCUCUGAUCCAUCCCUGGACUGUGAUUGAUGUCAGCUUGGUCUUUGUGCUGAAAUAGCUCACCUUCCCCAGGCCCAGAGAUCCGGAAGGUGGGGAGAGAGACCCUGUCAGCCUUCAUGGGGCCAUUUUUCUAGAUGAGAAUAUUGACACAUUAAGUCACUAGCAGCUACAGUUUCAGUCAACUUACAAAUCCACCGUCAUCUCUUUUUUUUUGGUACUGGGGAUCGAACUCAGGACCUUGUGUUUGUGAGGCAGGUGGCGGCACCACUGAGCUAGAUCCCCAGCCCACCGACCCCUUUAUUCUUAACUGCAGUCCUGAGCCCUCAUUUCCAGUUGUGGUUCACAGACAUUUUGCACCUCACUCCAAAACUCACUCAGGAAGCUUUAGGUUAGACCCAGCUUCCUGCUUUAUAAGAAAGACUGACUUACGGUGAUUAUGCCUGGGGACUAGAGUACCUUGGGAGAAGAUGGAGUGUGUUGUGUGCACUCACACUUUUGCUUUUUCCCUUACUUCACAUCUGCACUUCUUACCACACUGCAAACAUAACUAAACAUCAUGACCAUGAAACCACAUACUCAAUCCCCAAUCCCAUUUCCUUAUGUGUCACUAACAUAUCUGUCCCUAAAUUUGGCUGAUUGCACACAACUUAAGUCUUUGCCUCCUACUCUGUGCAAACCCAUCCGGUAAUGUGUCAAUGGCAGGGUGCCACCCUGAAGUGCAUAUUUGUAAAUGUGCCAUCAUACUGACAAAUACCUGUGACCCUAAAUUUGAAGAUGGAUAGUUAAUUAUUCAGGGGGAGAAAUUCCUCCAGAAGCAGUGGCACAGGGGACAGGAAGAUCUCCCAGGUGGGCUCAGGUCAUAAGCACUGUG
This is a long non-coding RNA of Heterocephalus glaber (naked mole-rat), 2228 nucleotides long. The record is from Ensembl. Lineage: Eukaryota; Metazoa; Chordata; Mammalia; Rodentia; Bathyergidae.